This 266-nucleotide unclassified non-coding RNA is filed under the name uncultured fungus. RNAcentral's name for it is "sequence contains ITS1, 5.8S rRNA gene". The stretch from base 218 to 266 matches the Rfam family "5.8S ribosomal RNA", at positions 1 to 49 of the family's 154-position model. Lineage: Eukaryota; Fungi. The record is from RNAcentral.
UCUCCGUUUGUGAACCAGCGGAGGGAUCAUUGCUGGAACAAACGCCCUCACGGGUGCUACCCAGAAACCCUAUGUGAAUUAUACCUAUACCCGUUGCCUCGGCAUGGUUGGCUUCUUAGAAGUCCCUUUUACCCAAAAGGAGCAGACCUGCCGGUGGCCCUAUAAACUCUAUGUUUUUUGUACCACCACCGAGUAACAAACAAAAAAAAUGAAUCAAAACUUUCAACAACGGAUCUCUUGGUUCUGGCAUCGAUGAAGAACGCAGC